CCUGUUUAUCAAAAACAUGUCUGUUUGUAAGUGUUAUCUGCAGUCUGGCCUGCCCACUGAAUUUUGAAGGGCCGCGGUAUUAUGACCGUGCGAAGGUAGCAUAAUCAUUAGUCUUUUAAUUGAAGGCUGGGAUGAAGGGUUGGACGAAGAAUAUUCUGUCUUUCUUUUUGUUUGAAUUUAACUUUUAAGUGAAAAGGCUUAAAUUGCUUAGUGGGACGAUAAGACCCUAUAAAACUUUAUAUAAGUUUAUUGUAGUGUAGGAAUUAAGUGUAAGUUAACUUUAAUUGAAUUAUAUUUCGUUGGGGAGAUGUUUAUAUAAUUGUAACUGUUGGUUAAAUUUAAUAAUUGUAGUUAGUUUAWGAUCCUUUAUUAGAGAUUAAAAGAUUAAGUUACUUUAGGGAUAACAGCGUAAUUUUCUUUAAGAGUUCUUMUUGACAAGUAUUAGUUGCGWCCUCGAUGCGAAUUAAAAUGUCACGAGGGUGCAGUCGCUUCYUGUAGUCURUCKCCCUUAAAAAUYACCGUUUUUGCC
Molecule: ribosomal RNA, 529 nt
Filed under: Dactylonia ascidicola
Lineage: Eukaryota; Metazoa; Arthropoda; Malacostraca; Decapoda; Palaemonidae
Description: partial large subunit ribosomal RNA
Source: RNAcentral